GCAGUCGUGAACGAGUGGUUAAGGCGAUGGACUAGAACUCCACUGCGGUCUCCCCGCACUGGUUCGAAUCCUGUCGACUGUG
Molecule: non-coding RNA, 82 nt
Organism: Ixodes scapularis (black-legged tick)
Lineage: Eukaryota; Metazoa; Arthropoda; Arachnida; Ixodida; Ixodidae
Source: Rfam